Molecule: ribosomal RNA, 301 nt
Filed under: uncultured bacterium
Lineage: Bacteria
Description: partial 16S ribosomal RNA
Rfam family: Bacterial small subunit ribosomal RNA
Source: RNAcentral
CAGUCGCCGCGGGAAUACGAAGGGUGCAAGCGUUAAUCGGAAUUACUGGGCGUAAAGCGCACGUAGGUGGUGGUUUAAGUCCGUUGUGAAAGCCCUGGGCUCAACCUGGGAAUUGCAGUGGAUACUGGGUCACUAGAGUGUGGUAGAGGAUAGUGGAAUUUCCGGUGUAGCAGUGAAAUGCGUAGAGAUCGGAAGGAACAUCUGUGGCGAAGGCGACUAUCUGGGCCAACACUGACACUGAGGCACGAAAGCGUGGGGAGCAAACAGGAUUAGAUACCCCCGUAGUCCCUGUCUCUUAUAC